This 513-nucleotide ribosomal RNA is filed under the name uncultured bacterium. RNAcentral's name for it is "partial 16S ribosomal RNA". It matches the Rfam family "Bacterial small subunit ribosomal RNA", at positions 28 to 523 of the family's 1533-position model. The record is from RNAcentral.
GACGAACGCUGGCGGCGUGCCUAAUACAUGCAAUUAGAACGCUGAAGACUUUAGCUUGCUAAAGUUGGAAGAGUUGCGAACGGGUGAGUAACGCGUAGGUAACCUGCCUACUAGCGGGGGAUAACUAUUGGAAACGAUAGCUAAUACCGCAUAACAGCAUUUAACCCAUGUUAGAUGCUUGAAAGGAGCAAUUGCUUCACUAGUAGAUGGACCUGCGUUGUAUUAGCUAGUUGGUGAGGUAACGGCUCACCAAGGCGACGAUACAUAGCCGACCUGAGAGGGUGAUCGGCCACACUGGGACUGAGACACGGCCCAGACUCCUACGGGAGGCAGCAGUAGGGAAUCUUCGGCAAUGGGGGCAACCCUGACCGAGCAACGCCGCGUGAGUGAAGAAGGUUUUCGGAUCGUAAAGCUCUGUUGUAAGAGAAGAACGUGUGUGAGAGUGGAAAGUUCACACAGUGACGGUAACUUACCAGAAAGGGACGGCUAACUACGUGCCAGCCGCCGCCGUAA